CCUACGGGAGGCAGCAGUGGGGGAUAUUGCACAAUGGGGGAAACCCUGAUGCAGCGACGCCGCGUGGGUGAAGAAGUAUUUCGGUAUGUAAAGCCCUAUCAGCAGGGAAGAAAGAAGACGGUACCUGACUAAGAAGCCCCGGCUAACUACGUGCCAGCAGCCGAGGUAAUACGUAGGGGGCGAGCGUUAUCCGGAUUCACUGGGUGCAAGGGGAGCGUAGGCGGCCGUGCAAGCCAGGAGUGAAAGCCCGGGGCCCAACCCCGGGACUGCUCUUGGAACUGUGCGGCUGGAGUGCGGGAGGGGCAGGCGGAAUGCCGGGUGUAGCGGUGAAAUGCGUAGAUAUCAGGAGGAACACCGGCGGCGAAGGCGGCCUGCUGGACCGCGACUGACGUUGAGGCUCGAAAGCGUGGGGAGCGAACAGGAUUAGAUACCCGGGUAC
This 439-nucleotide ribosomal RNA is filed under the name uncultured bacterium. RNAcentral's name for it is "partial 16S ribosomal RNA". It matches the Rfam family "Bacterial small subunit ribosomal RNA", at positions 338 to 793 of the family's 1533-position model. The record is from RNAcentral.